CGACUCCUGCGCCAUGCCGUGUCUCGUCUACGACAGCAGGAGCGUGUGCCCUCUCUCAUCCUCGCUCCUCCCUUCCUGGUCAACACAGCCGCCGCGCCACCUCCGUCCUCCGGUCCUCCCUCCCCCCCUGCAGCCCCAGCUCGCGAGGAAGCCGCGGGAGGAGCAGCUCAACCGGGCGUCGCCGGCCGGAGAAGGAGGAGAGGCGCGGAUGCCAGCCAGGGAGGCGGAUCGGCUCGCCCUCUGCAUCCACCUUGCUGCUCAUGGCAGCAUGUGUGCGGAAGCGGGGACAGGCGACCAUGAGCAGAUGUCAUCGGCGGACGCACGGUGCGCGAAGUCCGGUAAGAUGGGCGCGGCCUCCCCGCAGGCAUUUCAAGAUGGCGUGCCCCACGGCUCGGAACGCGCGUGCCUGGCACAUAGGAGGUAUGCCUCGGAGCAAGCUGGUGGCAACGUGCACCGCGAGGCCCCGGAGCAGCCCAACCAGUACAUAGCCCCUCCGUACUGGAGGAACCCUGCCGCCGACGCAGCCAGCGACGGCGACGCGUAUGAGAGCUCGGCCUUGGUGGCCCGCGAGCCGUAUGGGAGGAUCACGUCCGCGCUCGAGGGCAGCAACAAGUGCGGCACGAGGAGGUGCGCCGGUCUACAAUGACGCAAGGUGUACGUGUCCGCAUAGCAGCAUAUGUGCGGCAGCGGGGUCAGGCAACCACAGGCAGAUUUUGGGGAGCGGCACAACCAUCAAGCAACGGCUGAUGCCAAGGAACCUUAUCACAAUAGAUCAUUGGCAUUGCAGCUUCAGGGACAUGUAUGCUUUAUAUCCCAUCACUGAACAAGAUUGGAUUUUAGUGAAUACAAGCCAUCCUCCUCGCUGCCCUCCUCAGCUACUCAGGUGAAUGCAGUGGACUAUUCAAGAUCGAGGGCACCAACGGCAUAUGCUGAGGGCGUCCAUCAACAACCUGCCCAAUGUCCGGAUUCACCGAGGAGUACAACCAGAGACACUGUCGGCUGCCUGCAGCAGGCGCCAAGCCCCCCGACACCGAGCCGUCUGUUCUUCUCUUUGCCCGAAGAAGGAUUAUGGUUCUCCACCUCUCUGCUACUCAUAUUAAAAUUCCCGUAUGUUCUUUCUUUCUUUAUUUUCUGUCAACAAAAAGGUGAAACAUGUUCUUAAUUUUCCAUAAUGAUUUUGAUGGCAAUUUGUCAGUGUAUUUCUAGCUGGAAUUGCAUGUAUAUCUUACAAAUUUACAUUGCAACAAAUUAAGAAGGAGAAUAGAAGCAUUUGCAGCCAUCUAACAUAUGGUAUUUUUCAAAAAGCUCAAGGUUAGAGAUGUGGCGCUGUAUGAGGCUAUCAUUACGAUGGAAGAUAAAUUAUUGUUAAAAUAUUGUUUGAAUUUCCUUCGUUCUGUAAACGGCAAUACAAGCUAUGUUUGCACCAUGAUUCUAUUCCAAUUUCUUUUAACAACUAGCAAUUAACGACACAUCAAAUGUCCUGUAUUCAAAUGGAUCAUUUUGUCUGGUUGGGUUUAGUAGGUCAUAAUGGUUUUAUUGUACAGCAGGAUUAAUUUUGUUUAUACUGUAACCAGUUCAAGGAUUGAUAAGUUUUCGCCCUAUGAUCUUUGCACACAAAGGUUCGGCUGUGUUCUUUUGGAAAUAUACAUCCGCCAAGUCUCAUGUGUCUUGCAUUGUUUUCGCUUUCCAAGCUACAGGUUUGGAUAUACUUCGAACAAGAUUCUUUAUAUGUUGUUCGAUUCCUCUUGACCACAAGGGGAAUGCUUACUGUGGCAAUACGCACUUCUAUGCUUACUGAUUGGCACUCUUUAUUAGCAUGGAGAAUAACUUUUAGUUCACUAAGAUUAGUUUCUGUUCACAUUGCUCUGUAUAUAAAAAAAGGAUUGUUGUGCUGAAAAGGUAUAUGACAUUCUGGCAAAACGUUGUUUAGUAAAAAGGUAUGUAGAGGUGAACUUUAGAAGUGAAAUGGUGUGGAUGUUCUGACAUGGAGAUGCUUGGACUAACUUUAGCGUCACACAUGAUUUUUUGUUUUCCUCCGAAUGUAUGUCCUACUAAUUGUCAGCGCCUGAUUUUUUGUUUUCCUCCCAAUGUCAUGUGAUAAUUACUGCACUAUAAAUCACAUGCUUGCAAGUCAUUGUUGUGUCGUCUCUCUCUCUAACCGCCCCCUCCCCCUUCCCAUCAUCUUGGCUUGCAGGUUGCCGGCGUGUCUCCCACGAGUCUGCGACAUAACGUGCAAUCUAGGUUGUUGGCAAGUUAACUUAGGAUUGGCAACCUAUAGUGUAUUAGUGUGGCAAGCACAUGGGAAGGUGGGAUUACAUUCUAUACUCUUGAAACUAUGUAGAAUUUUGCAUAUACAUUGUUCACUUCAGCAAAAUAGAGAUCCCCUAACUAGCAGAUCAAUGUUGGUUGUGAUCAAACUUUUUUACAUUGUCAUAUUUGUAUAUAUAGUGUGUGAUGGAGUAUCAACUAGCUGCCUUUGGUCGCACUUAGUAUAAAAGUCUCAUAUAUUGCUAGCUCCUUGUAUAUCUAAUUGGAUUGUUUGCUGAGCAAUUUCUCUAAUGUACAUCUCUAAAAUUACUAAUAUAUGGAUUUUCUAAACAUGAUGGUGCAUAUCCGAGAAAGAAGAAAUAGGACCAAGGAAAUUAGGUGCUUCUCUACCUCUCUAUCAUUCACAUUUUAUUGUAUUUUCUAAAGAUGUGUGCCGCUCCCUCGCCUAGUGUUAGUUUCUGCAUGCUUCUCUCCAUGGUCCUCUUUAUUUAGUAUGUAGAGUUCAACUAAACCAUAACGAAUGUGGAGGUUUAUUUUAUUUGUGUUUGUUUAUUUUGAUGGUUUAUUGACUGUUAGAAUAUAGUAUGUUGUGUUCAACAUGCUCACAAAAUUGAAUAGAAGCCCUUCUGAUGUCGAAAUCAGAUUAAAUUUAUGGACUAGCUCAUUUAGAUAUUACAGGGGAGAACAACAUUUGUUUUCUGGAUUCAGUUUUGGUUCUUUCUAUAAAAAUAGUCGGAUAGUGGUCUUAAUGAAACAUUGCAUUUAUUUCAUACAAGUCGCUGAUAUAAUUUGCAUCUAGCAAAUAAAUUUGUAUCACUAUCUAUUUUAUCAGGUAAAACACCAGCAUGUUGUUUGAGGUGCAUGCAUCGGUUGUAGCGAAAAUGUGCGUAUGACGAUGUAUUGCUGACCAUGGAGCACUGCAAGGCUUCAAGAUAUCUACCGCAACUUAGAGGCUUGACACAUUGCCACUUGCUCCUACCACCAUGCAAAUGGUCGAUGCUUUAGUGUUGAACUAUUGACUAAUCUUUUUUUUCUUUAAUCUAUGUGAUGGUGCCCCUUACCAUUAGUACUUGUCAUGUGGAUUUCAAUAGAAAUGAUGUUUUAGGCAUGUUUGAUGGUUAUAAAACAAAUGCCAUAGAUGAUAGCUAUUGCUAUUAUGGAGUUUGGAACUAUUGUUCAACUGAUAUUCAAUGUUUGAUGCUC
Long non-coding RNA from Triticum dicoccoides, 3471 nucleotides. RefSeq lists it as uncharacterized. The transcript has 4 exons. The record is from RefSeq and is a predicted model, not a curated record. NCBI's taxonomy places the organism in Eukaryota, Viridiplantae, Streptophyta, Magnoliopsida, Poales, Poaceae.